UUGUACUCUGGAAGUGGAAGGUAAAGCUGGAGAGUGAUUCUUAGAGUAUCUGACACCAUGCGUUUACCAUAUGGAAUCCAAUGAUUGUUAGGCUAUGUUUCUAUGUGGUUACUCUGUUAUUGUAUUGGAACUAUGUCUGGAUUUCUUAGGCUUCGAAUGGUAAAAGCAGAUCAAGCGUUGCAGAUCAUGCAGAUCAUGCAGAUCAUAUGAACAAUGCAGAUCAGGUAGAUCAUGCAGAUCAUGCAGAACAAGUGCAGAUCAUGCUGAUUGUGCAGUAUAUAUUAUGGCCUUGAAUGGUAAAAGUAGAUCAAACAGUGCAGAUUAUAUAUGCAUAUUAAAUAUUAAACAGUAAAUAAUAUAAAAAACACAUAAAAUUCAAUAAAAUUAUUUUUAAAAAUAAUCAAUGUAUUUAGUGUUGAUUUUUUUUCUAAAUAUUUGGAGGUCUUAAAACAUUAAAAACAAAUAUUCAAAUACAACAAAAAUUAAACUAAGAAUAUAUUAAUAAGGAGUAUUUUGAUUUGCCCAUAAUAUAUCAGCAAUAUUUUCUCUAAUAUUUGCCAUUUGAUCUCCAUCAGCUAUAGCAGUAGUUUCCAUGUCACCUUCGUCAUUCUCUGAAUUUGUGUAUGCUCCAUUACUUCAGCAAAAUCUUCAUCAAAAUAAUUUGAAAUUCUGAUAAAAUUAUGUAGUCCCAUUGUAGCCAUCACCACUCUUUUUUGAACAUGUGUGUUAUAUCUAGGAAACUCAGAAAGAAUCCUCCAUUUCUUCUUCCAAACUCCAAAUGUUCUUUCAAUAACAGAACGUAGUGAUGCAUGACAACGAUUAAAUAGUUCUUGUUUGUUCCUAGGAAGAGGACCAUUGUAGAAUUGCGACAUAUGAUACCGAACAAUCCCAUUCCGUGAAGAUCUAUAAGGAGCCAAAAAACCUUGUUUAUUUGGAUAACCAGAAUCAACCACAUAAUAUUUGUCUCCAGUAAAUAUAAUACCCUUUUUUUCCCCCGAAUUUUUAUAUUUGUCUAACCGUUUUUUUUUUUUAAAUAUAAAACUAACUCCUAUUUUCAUGACAAUUUAAUAAAAAAAUAUUUGGUGCAAAAUAUUUAAAGUUUUUUAUUUUUUAAAAUUCAUAACAACUUUCAAAUAACCUCCCACAAUUAUAGGAGAUAAUUAUAUUCAAAUAAAUUUAUUUUACAACAAAACAUAAAUAUAGGCUAGUUUUUAAAUGUAUAAAUUUUACUUUUUUAAUUUUUUUAGAUAAGGUUUUUAAAAAAGAUUCCAUAAAGAAAGAAAAAUAUAAAACAACAUUUAUUAUCAUAUAUGAAUAACUAUGAUAAAAUAAACAUAGUUUCAUGAAAAUACAAGUUUAACAAGUAAGAACAUAUACCAAAAACUAUAUAUAUACAAAUAUAAAAUUAACAUACAUAUUACAUCACUGGUAGAAAAAGCAUGUUUUAAAUAAAAAUUUAAAUACUAUAAUUUUAUAACUACUAAUAUACUAUAUAAUGUAACUACAUUUAUUUAAUAGGAUAAAUAUAUAUACCUUUCAGCAGGAAAUUAUAGAAACAAAAGGUGUAGUGUUGAAGCUUGGAUUGUAUUUUGAAUUCUGUAAAAAAUAAAAUAUAUAUGUUAGUCUAUAGAAAAAUUAAAUUGCAUGUAAUUUAAGAAAAAAAAAAUACCUUUGCAAACAAAAAUGGUUAGAACACGAGAGAGGGAGAGAAAGAAGAAGUGAGUGGUGUAUGGGUUGUGAAGUGUAGUGUAGUUAUAUAGAAAAAAAAAAAAAAAAGAUUUUUUUGAAUUAUUAUCUUAUUAAAAAAAUAAAAAAAUACAAAAGACAGUUAAAACACAUCAAAAGAGGCGUGCACAACUUCCCCCACAGAUGUCCUGUCUUUUUCACAAAAAGACAAAAAAUUAAUGAACUGCCUUCAGUUUUUUUGGUUUUGUUUAAAAAAAAUUAAAAAUGGUGAAUGGUGUUUCGGUAACAGGAGAACUACAUGCAUGGGUCAACUGCACUUCUCCUGUCUCCCCAUUCAAGGCCUUAAUUAGCCAAUAGACUCUUGAAACUUCUGAUUCUCAGUCACUUGAGAAAAGCAAAGGCAGAUCAUUACAAAGUCUGCAUCUGUCACUCUGUCUCUCGUCAUAAUUAGCUUUAGUCUUGAUUGUUGCCUUGGAUUUGGCUGCCUCAAGACUUUGUGAAAGGUUGUAUGAAGGAUUCUCUCUGAUACCAAUGAGAAAUUGGUUAUGGCCUUUUCUUUGAUGACCUAAAUUACAUAGAUGGUUAAUGAAGUAUCCGAGAUUGUAGGGAAUUUCAUGUGUUUUUCAAGCUCACAUUGAAGUCUGAAGGGUGGAGGUUGUGUUCUUGCGGUGACUACUAGUGUAGUAGUGUUAGCAUUCAGAUUUUUGAUAAAACUAAUAAUACAGUAAUAACAAGUUCGCCGCAAUCUGUCUGAGAACCUUUUUGUUUUAAUAAAUAUACCCAUGCGAGAUU
This 2478-nucleotide long non-coding RNA is filed under the name Capsella rubella. RNAcentral describes it as "long non-coding RNA (CRUB_LNC003473)". Lineage: Eukaryota; Viridiplantae; Streptophyta; Magnoliopsida; Brassicales; Brassicaceae. The record is from RNAcentral.